RNAcentral lists this transfer RNA (188 nucleotides) under archaeon. Its description in RNAcentral is "tRNA-Asp". The record is from RNAcentral. RNAcentral also lists the same sequence under 1 other name.
GCUCAGGUAGUAUAACCGGCUAGUAUAGAGGCCUGUCACGCCUCUGAUCCGGGUUCGAGCACAGUCGGUUUCUUUCUCUUUUUUCAAAAAAAAGAGAAAGACAAGUCCGGGUAGAAAGAGAAAAAACGAUGACCUCAACUUUGUUGAGGCCAAAAAUCCGGACACUGUCGAAAAUCCCGGCCUGGGCG